GGCUCAGGAUGAACGCUGGCGGCGUGCCUAAUACAUGCAUGUCGAACGAAUCUCUUUUAGAGAUGAGUGGCGAACGGGUGAGUAAUACAUAGGUAACCUGCCCCUGUGCGGGGGAUAACAGGAGGAAACUCCUGCUAAUACCGCAUAGCCAUGAGCACCGCAUGGAGCUCAUGCCAAAUAUCCUUUCGGGGAUAGCGCAGGGAUGGACCUAUGGCGCAUUAGCUGGUUGGCGGGGCAACGGCCCACCAAGGCAACGAUGCGUAGCCGGCCUGAGAGGGCGGACGGCCACAUUGGGACUGAGACACGGCCCAGACUCCUACGGGAGGCAGCAGUAGGGAAUUUUCGGCAAUGGGGGAAACCCUGUCCGAGCAACGCCGCGUGAGCGAAGAAGGCCUUCGGGUCGUAAAGCUCUGUUGUAAAGGAAGAACGGCGCAUACAGGAAAUGGUAUGCGAGUGACAGUACUUUACCAGAAAGCCACGGCUAACUACGUGCCAGCAGCCGCGGUAAUACGUAGGUGGCGAGCGUUAUCCGGAAUCAUUGGGCGUAAAGAGGGAGCAGGCGGCCGCAAGGGUCUGUGGUGAAAGCCCGAAGCUAAACUUCGGUAAGCCAUGGAAACCGGGCGGCUAGAGUGCGGAAGAGGAUCGUGGAAUUCCAUGUGUAGCGGUGAAAUGCGUAGAUAUAUGGAGGAACACCAGUGGCGAAGGCGACGGUCUGGGCCGCAACUGACGCUCAUUCCCGAAAGCGUGGGGAGCAAAUAGGAUUAGAUACCCUAGUAGUCCACGCCGUAAACGAUGGUCACUAAGUGUCGGGGGUCAAACCCCGGUGCUGCAGUCAACGCAA
Molecule: ribosomal RNA, 841 nt
Filed under: uncultured bacterium
Lineage: Bacteria
Description: bacterial SSU rRNA
Rfam family: Bacterial small subunit ribosomal RNA
Source: RNAcentral